AUGGCAGCAACAAUGGAGCCAAAGGCCAAACAUUGGCUGUUCACCUUAAUGGAGCUGUUAUCUCAUGCUGAAUUUGUCAAGCUUUCGAUGACCUUAUGGGCUAUCUGGGCAGCAAGGCGGAAGGCCAUCCAUGAAGGCAUCUUUCAGAGCCCACAUGCGAUCAUGUCUUUUGUCGAUAGGUACAUCAAUGAGUUUGAGGUGAUCAAUGGUAGACAGGAGCAGGCCCGUACCCAGUCUAGGGUGGCAACUGUGGGCGUGAGGAAACCAAAAGCCCCCCAUGCGGGCUAUGCAAAAAUCAAUGUUGAUGCGGGGUGCAGAAAAGAAAGUAGGGGGACAGCUAUAGCAGUAUGUAGAGAUAACACCGGAAAGUUCCUCGGAAGUUCGGCCCUCGUAGUCAGAGGUGUGGAUGAUCCAGCGACGCUCGAGGCAAUGGCAUGUCGGGAAAGAUUGGCACUCGCAGCCGAUCUCCAUGUCAAUCAAUUUGUCAUUUCAUCUGAUGCUAAGGAGGUGGUCAGCGCUAUCCAUAAUGAUAGCUGUGGACCUUAUGGAGCCAUCAUCAAGGAGAUUAGAGUCCAACAAUUAUCUUUUCUUUGCAAUUUUUGUUUCGAAGGUCGUUUGAACAAUUUAGAAGCUCAUAAGUUAGCCAAGCAUUCACUUUCUUUGGGUCCGGGGCGCCACGUCUGGUUUGGCCAACCCCACGACCUGAACUGUAUCCCACUUCAUGUGGUCUUUGAUGAAUAA
This 741-nucleotide ribosomal RNA is filed under the name Triticum aestivum (bread wheat). RNAcentral describes it as "partial small subunit ribosomal RNA". Lineage: Eukaryota; Viridiplantae; Streptophyta; Magnoliopsida; Poales; Poaceae. The record is from RNAcentral.